GUUAAGUCAGAUGUGAAAGCCCGGGGCUCAACCUCGGAAUUGCAUUGAAACUGGCAAACUAGAGUACUGUAGAGGGGGUAGAAUUUCAGGUGUAGCGGUGAAAUGCGUAGAGAUCUGAAGGAAUACCGGUGGCGAAGGCGGCCCCCUGGACAGAUACUGACACUCACGAUGCGAAAGCGUGGGGACGCAAACAGGAUUAGACUACCCUGGUAG
Molecule: ribosomal RNA, 213 nt
Filed under: uncultured bacterium
Lineage: Bacteria
Description: partial 16S ribosomal RNA
Rfam family: Bacterial small subunit ribosomal RNA
Source: RNAcentral